Molecule: long non-coding RNA, 592 nt
Organism: Xiphias gladius (swordfish)
Lineage: Eukaryota; Metazoa; Chordata; Actinopteri; Istiophoriformes; Xiphiidae
Exons: 3
Source: RefSeq, a predicted model, not a curated record
GGAGAGGAGAAGAGAAGCAGCCAAAGGAAGGACGAAAGGAGAGAGGAGGACAGAUUGUAACUGCACUCAUGGCUGCCCCAGCGAGAGAACAUCAGAUGUCUCUCCAUCUCUCCUCCGCCAUCUCUCGCUCAGUGCAUCUGUCCCUUCGGCCCUCCAUCGAGGCCUCCCUCCAUGACCCACCCGUCUCUGCAUCACCACGGUGACGAGAGCCUCUCCAUCCAAAUUGACACACGUCGAGAUGAACAGAUUGGGAGCUGAGGGACAGAAGGGAGGAGGAAAGAGGAAGAGAAAAACUGGGAUGAGAUGUAGAGAAAUAAGAAUCUUACCCUGGGAGCAAAGCUGUCAUCAUCAAGAACACCAAAGAUGCCGUGACCGACCGUCUGUACAGCUACGCUCCCAUUGUAGGCAUCAACCUUUGGGCACUACAAGCAUGGGCAUGAAGAUAAAAAAGAAGAAAAAAAGAAAUCCAAAGUCAUGGCUAUUGUCAAGGUGUUCACCUGGCAUAACCUCCUUCCCAACAGAUGCUAUGUGGAUUAUUCCUCUGGAGAAGACAAGGGACAACAAGGAUGUCUUCCGGGAUCCAGUUCUCAAG